AGGGAUCCCGGAGAGUUCGAGUUCAAAUCUAAGGCAGUCUCCUAGUUAUUUUUCGCCUCUUACAGAGUGUAUCGUAUCGAAAUACGGUUCUACCUUUCGGACCACCUUCAACCGAUCUUCAGCGACCGCACUUGUUUACUGAACGAUGACUAGGAGCGCGUGGACGAUUUGAAAAUGACAAAAUAAUGAUCCCCUUCCUACGUUCCGCCGACCCAUGACCGGAUUCUUGUGCGUAUCUCGGCGUUAUCUGGGCGGAGUAUCCUUAUCGGAAUCACCGGAUGAUGAUGACCGUCUCCGUAUUGCCGCCAGUCAUCGACUGGCCGCCGUGACUGAUCCGCGAUCUACCGCUGCCACCAACAAGAGAGGAAAAGAGAAAGAGAGAGAGAGGGAGAGAGACUGAGAAUACACGAUCGGAAGCUGACAUCUAGCUGUCAGCCGAUGGUAAACAGUCUGACUGCGUACAUCGCGGUGCGUAGACGUGCGUAACGCAACAUGCCGUACACGUGCGUGCUCGCGUGCAUGUGAACAGAGAAAGAGAGAGAAAGAAAGGCUGAGAGAGGAAGCUAGAACAGACUGAAGAAACAUUCUCUUAUUCUUCGCCCACGAGUGCUUCCUCAUUUAUGAUCGUGGAGAGAUCACCAUUCCAAUCAUGAGGACUACCGUUUGAUAUUCCGUCCAGAAGAACAGUCUCUCCCGUGUUGCAUUUGAUUGCCGUGGUAUUGGAUCUCCUCAGGUGCAACCGGUAAUGGAGCUCCGUGAACUCUGGAAACCGUGGAUGCAGCCGAGGGCUGGCAGCGGAGGGGCCCACGCGGGUGGGACAGGUGACGAUGAGGCCCCGAAGGACCCGGGUGCAAGGAUCACUCAUCAGUCCUAUACGGAGAAGGAUUAUGAGGGUCACAGGGCGCACACGGUAUACGUGGGCGUGCACUUGCCGGGAGAGAGGAGACACCGUCGCCACCAUAAGCACCAUCAUUCACAACGGCAGUCGUAUCCCGGCGGUAAGGAGGAUGCUGACAACGACAGACCGAUCACUCCACCAGCCCAGAGGGUGCAGUUCAUCCUCGGCGAGGAAGUCGGCGAUGACGCCCACGAGUCGCAUCCGCUCUUCUCGGAGAUGGAGGAGCUCGUCAAGGAUGGCGAUGAGAUGGAAUGGAAGGAAACGGCGAGGUGGAUCAAGUUCGAGGAAGACGUCGAGGAGGGUGGGAAUAGGUGGAGCAAACCCCACGUAGCCACGCUGUCGCUGCACUCGCUCUUCGAGCUGAGGAGUCUUCUCUUAAAUGGGACCGUCAUGCUCGACAUGGAGGCGGCUAGUUUGGAGCAGAUUGCUGAUCUAGUUCUCGACAACAUGGUCAACAAGGAAGUGCUGCCGGUCGAGUUGCGGGAGAAGGUGAGGGAAGCCCUCCUCGUCCGACAUCGGCAUCAGCACGAGAGACGCAAAGACAAUAACAUGUCAAAGUUGCCGAUCAUACGAUCGUUAGCUGAGAUCGGCCGCAAUCAUUCCUCGUCAAAGAAUUGCGACUGUUCAUGUGGUAUGCAUGCCUUGUUGACGUCAGAUUUGCAGGAGCGCCGCGAGCCCAGGGACGCCUACGUGCCCUCCGUCGCUCGCAGCAGCAGCUGCCCAAACUCGAACACGGCUCCGCUGUCGAAAGAGGCGAAAGACCUCAAAGGGCCGUACCUUCUGGUUCCAGGCCAAGAACCGGGCAGCAACGGCAUAGACCGGAGUCCCAGCAGCGUGUCCAUCAGCAGGAAUCACAGCUCCUCUGCGUUGGAGAACGGAGACGCUAAUCACAGGGGUAAUACACACUUUAUGAGGAAGAUACCACCAGGCGCCGAGGCAAGCAACAUACUUGUAGGUGAAGUCGAUUUCCUCGACAAGACCCUGUCUGUCUUCAUCCGACUGAGCCAGGCCGGGAUAAUGGGCGAUCUGACGGAAGUUCCUGUGCCAACGAGAUUUAUCUUCGUCCUUCUGGGACCCACGGGUGGAAUCUCGGGUUUCCAUGAAAUUGGCCGCGCCAUGGCGACUCUGAUGUCCGAUGAGGUCUUUCAUGACGUAGCAUACAAGGCGAAAAACAGGACUCACCUCUUAGCCGGCAUCGACGAGUUCCUGGACGCAGUGACAGUUUUGCCACCCGGUGAAUGGGAUCCAGCCAUCAGAAUAGAACCGCCGGCCGCUAUACCAUCGCAGGAAGUUCGGAAGAGGCCGAAGGAGGAAAAGCCCAAGGAAGAGUUUGACGAAGAAGCAGACGAGGAGAAGCUGAGGAAGGAGUCUGGUCUCGAGAGAUCCGGCAAGCUGUUCGGUGGACUGAUCAACGACGUAAAGAGGAAAGCUCCGUUCUACUUCUCUGACUUCAAAGACGCCCUGGCCCUCCAGUGCGUGGCAUCUUUCAUCUUCCUGUACUUCGCUUGCCUGUCGCCCAUCAUCACGUUCGGCGGCCUCCUCAGUGAGGCGACUGGCAAAAACAUGGCUGCUAUGGAAUCGUUGGUUUCCGGCUUUGUCUGUGGCAUCGGGUACGGCUUCUUCUCCGGCCAGCCGCUGACUAUACUCGGCUCCACCGGUCCGGUUUUGGUCUUUGAGACGAUCGUCUAUGAAUUCUGCAAGAAAUCCGAAUGGCAUUACAUGUCCUUCCGCUUCUGGAUUGGCAUGUGGAUCACCGUGAUCCUGUUAAUUCUCGUGGCUUUCGACGCAAGCGCCUGCGUCUGCUACAUCACUCGAUUCACGGAGGAGAACUUUGCCACCCUUAUCGCCUUCAUCUUUAUUUACAAGGCCAUCGAAAAUGUGCUAUCGAUCGGCAAGAAAUAUCCUGUGGACACUCAUUCCAACGAAAUGUUGAGCUACAAUUGCUGGUGUAAACCGCCCAACAUCACUCUGCCAUCCAGUUAUGAUCACGUGAACUGGACGUCGUUGGACAAGACUACUUGCGAGAAUCACAACGGCACGAUGAUGGGUGACGGCUGCAGCGUGACGCAGUAUGUGCCCAAUGUGUUCCUCAUGUCAAUUAUCCUAUUCAUGGGCACGUUCCUGCUGUCGGUACAACUCAAGAAUUUCAAGAACGCUUUGUUCUUCCCUUCGAAGGUGAGGCAAGUGGUGAGCGACUUCGCAGUGAUAAUCGCGAUAUUCUCUAUGAGCUUAAUGGACCACUUCGUGGGCAUUCCGACGCCGAAGCUGGAGGUGCCAUCGGAAUUCAAGCCGACACUGGAGGGACGAGGAUGGAUAAUUUGGCCUUUUCAGUAUAAUCCAUGGUGGAGUGCCAUCGCCGCCAUUGCCCCCGCUUUAUUGGGCACUAUAUUGAUCUUCAUGGAUCAGCAGAUCACGGCGGUCAUUGUUAACAGGAAGGAGAACAAAUUAAAGAAAGGAUGCGGCUAUCACCUGGACCUCUUCAUCCUGGCGAUCCUGAUCAUGAUAUGCUCUGUGAUGGGACUUCCGUGGUUCGUCGCGGCAACCGUCCUCUCGAUAAACCAUGUGAAUUCGCUGAAACUGGAAUCCGAAUGUGCCGCGCCGGGCGAGAAGCCACAGUUCUUAGGCGUUCGCGAGCAGAGGGUUACUCACAUCCUGAUUUUCUUAAUGAUCGGAUGCUCGGUAUUGUUGACGCCGAUGCUGAGAAACAUACCGAUGCCGGUUCUGUUCGGUGUCUUCCUUUACAUGGGCGUCGCGUCGCUCAAGGGCCUCCAAUUCUUCGACAGAAUCCUCAUUAUGCUGAUGCCCGUCAAGUAUCAGCCGGAUUACAUGUUCCUCCGUCAGGUGCCGCUAAAGCGUGUACACGUAUUCACUGUGAUUCAACUAGCAUGUCUCACCUGUCUGUGGCUAAUAAAGUCCUUCAGCCAAACUUCUAUCCUGUUUCCCUUGAUGCUCGUCGUGAUGAUCGGCAUACGCAAACUCCUGGACUUUGUGUUCACUCAACGCGAGCUGAAGAUCCUCGACGACAUAAUGCCGGAAACGAGCAAGAAGCACGCCGACGAUCUCCUCAAGCUGGAAAACGGCGAGGAACACACCGAUACGACGGGAUACGGUCCCCCAGAAAACAUCCAGAUCUCUCUGGCCAACGGGAACAUCAUGAAGAUUCCACUGGCGAGCAUCAACAUCAGCGAGGAGGUGAACAAGACCGGCAUCUGGCAACAGGUGAACGAGGGUAACGAAAAGUCGAAGCAGUCGAAAUCACUGAUAAACGUGGGAAAGCAAAAGAAGCAUCCGAAGAAGGACAACUCGAUAGCCGACGAGACAACGAGGCUGACGACGAUGACCGAGGAGGACGAGGAUGACAGUGGGAUCUCGAUCAAGGUGACGCACGUAAAAGACUCUAAAUUCUAACUCCACCAUCACCAUCACCAAAAAAUAAAAAAGACCGACUAUUCAUACGGCAAGACACACAGCAAGAGCACCAAUACACCGGCAUGCAACAUACCCCAUGCACCGCCGCUGUAGAUUUAAUACGAUCCAAGGAAAGCAUCAGUCCUUUAAAAGCAAAUGGUACUACCUCAGCCGAAACUUCCGUUUAGACAAGAAGACAGCAGAAAUAAGAAUAUGUGUUAAUGCAGCACACAAGUCUCUUUGAACAUUUAUUUCAAGAUUUCUUCAUCCACCGAUUGUUCAUACCCCAAUGAUCUCCAUUCACAUCUUACGAAUUGCCAUUCAGAAGACAAAGAUUUACACAGUCACAUUUACACUCGAUCCCUCCCUAAAUGGUCACCUUGAUUCAAACUGAAUACCCGCUCCUGCCAUUCAUCAAUUGCCGAUUAUCUUUUAUUGUAUUAUAUAUUUGUACUAUAUUUGGUGAACGCGAGUGCCCGGCAAUUUAUAAACAAUCAGCUGUAAAUGAGAGUCAUCGUGCACAUUCUCGAUGUACAUAGCAACAAUUCAACCGGAAGCGCCAACAGCGUCCAAUUGUGAUCUCGCGAAACCGUUUUCCUCAACUCGGGUAGAGUAAUGCGUACCAUUCCGAAGCAAUGGUACGCAUUGCUUCGGAAUAGUUUCCAACUGCGGCUGAUCCACGUAAAACAACUUCGCAUGUAUGCGAAAACAGGAGAGACAAAAAGUAUCUACAUCCUUAUGGCUAUCUAUGCAACAAAUGAUUCUUUUCUGUGUAACAGAACGUAACGUGUUAACUGUACGCGAGACGAUCCACGGAAGAGAACGAUUUCGAAAUUCUGAAAAAAGAGUGCUUUGAGUAGAGUAUAAAAUAAUAAGAGAAAGUAAAAAAGUCGUAUAAUAGUUGCAUGUUUUUACGUUUUAGCGACAACGGUAAAUAAAAAGUAGUAAAAUUAUGAAAUAUUAUGUGAUGUACGACUGCAUCCUCUUCAGACGAUAGGAUCCGAAUCGUCUAUUGACGAGUCAAUAGGGAUGCGUCUACGCUACAAAAA
This 5355-nucleotide unclassified non-coding RNA is filed under the name Ooceraea biroi (clonal raider ant). Its description in RNAcentral is "sodium bicarbonate cotransporter 3, transcript variant X2". The record is from RNAcentral. Lineage: Eukaryota; Metazoa; Arthropoda; Insecta; Hymenoptera; Formicidae.